Molecule: transfer RNA, 87 nt
Filed under: Xylaria sp. FL0043
Lineage: Eukaryota; Fungi; Ascomycota; Sordariomycetes; Xylariales; Xylariaceae
Description: tRNA-Thr
Rfam family: tRNA
About the family: Transfer RNA (tRNA) molecules are approximately 80 nucleotides in length.
Source: RNAcentral
GCCCCUAUGGCGUAGUGGUAGCGCGUGUCACUUGUAUUAGAUAUCAAGAUCAUGACAAGGUCUCUCGUUCGAUCCGGGAUGGGGGCA